UGCCAAGAAUUUUGAAGCGCGACCCUGCACCCCGCCAGGGACCAGGGGAGUCUGUUGACAUCCAUGGAUCGAUACGAUGAUAUCCCGGGGUAGAAGUUUUCUACAGGGCAAUGAGCGAUAUGGCCGUGCACGGGACAUGGCGUCUGGGCAGUGGCAUCGAGCGCAUUCUUUGCAGCUCCACGGCUGCCAUGUGUCAUCGGAUGAGAAAAGCCGCCCAGGAGUGAAAUAACUCUUUCGUCAGUCCACUGACAGUAACUAUGGGGAGGGACGUGAGGGAAACGGAACCAGCAGGCAUCCUGUAUUGUGUGGGUGAAUAAUCUUCAUGCUCACGACUCCACACUGCGCAGCACGCAGCAGUUGGUUAAUUAGCUUAUCUCUCUAUCGAGCUAGUUUAGUUGUCCAAGGAUAUCCCCGUAGUUAUGAUGAUCUGAUUGGCUCAAAUGAUCGAUCACCAAGAUGUGCAGCCAAACCGCAUCUGCUCCGAACUUCUGCCGA
RNAcentral lists this small RNA (495 nucleotides) under Histoplasma capsulatum. RNAcentral's name for it is "hypothetical RNA". RNAcentral also lists the same sequence under 1 other name. The record is from RNAcentral. Lineage: Eukaryota; Fungi; Ascomycota; Eurotiomycetes; Onygenales; Ajellomycetaceae.